AAACCGUUCAGGGGUAAACCUGCGAAACUCGAAUGAACGAACGGAGAGAUUCAUCGUCAUUCCGCGGCGUACGCGUUCGCGCUCUGAUGNNGCGUCGGUCCCUUNNAAUCGGUGUANCCGGCGUCACGGGUCGAGCGCGUCGACGUCCGCGGACGGCGUGCACUUCUCUCUCAGUAAUACAUCGCGACCCGUUCGACGUCGGCCUAAGCGCCGUUCGGGAGUCCGUUUGGNNAUUUAUACUCCUNAGCNNNNGGACCGUGACGGUGGCCGACCGGCCGUCGGACGGUAGAAGACAGGAAUCGCGCACGCGCUCNANNNNNNAGCGCGUCCGGCCCGACGCAAGAUAACGUCGUCAUCGAGAUCCUGCCUUUGUGCGGAUAUCGGUGCGGCGCGUCUGUUGUCGCAGCCGUGUUGUCUCGGACCGUGCGC
This 429-nucleotide ribosomal RNA is filed under the name Graphium doson evemonides. RNAcentral's name for it is "partial 28S ribosomal RNA". Lineage: Eukaryota; Metazoa; Arthropoda; Insecta; Lepidoptera; Papilionidae. The record is from RNAcentral.